Molecule: long non-coding RNA, 364 nt
Filed under: Carica papaya (papaya)
Lineage: Eukaryota; Viridiplantae; Streptophyta; Magnoliopsida; Brassicales; Caricaceae
Description: long non-coding RNA (CPAP_LNC013874)
Source: RNAcentral
GAUGAUAAAGGCCACAAAGGAGAUACAACUCCAAGACUUGAAAAGGGCUACAUGUCUAGCUCAUUUAGCAGUCCAACCUGAGUUAAUCCGGAGAAUAAGGGAGGCUUAACUUCCUGAUUUCACUCUAGUAGCUAUCAGAAAUAAUACAGAAUAGAGUUUGAUUUCAGAGUUCUGAGUUUUUACAGAUGGGUUGCUAAGGUUUCAAGAAAAGUCAUGUGUUCCUAAUGAUAGUAAGUUAAAGAGAGAUAUCAUGAUAAAGUCUCACAGUUCGAAGUUCACAAUGCUUAUUGAAAGCACCAAGAUGUACCGAAGCAUGCCGCCCCGAUUUUGGCGGAGCAGAAUGAAAAGGGAUAUUAUUGACUUC